This is a long non-coding RNA of Lytechinus pictus (painted urchin), 1046 nucleotides long. RefSeq lists it as uncharacterized. The transcript has 3 exons. Lineage: Eukaryota; Metazoa; Echinodermata; Echinoidea; Temnopleuroida; Toxopneustidae. The record is from RefSeq and is a predicted model, not a curated record.
UUGUACUCUAUUUAAUUACAUACAAGUAGUUUCAGCCUGGAUUACCCCUUUAAGGAUUUGAUGAACAUUUAACUUGAUGAAUGCUUAGAUUGUAUAAAUUAUUGAUGGACAGUAAGGGAUCAAACAUUGAUAGGCCUACACAGGUGCAAAUAAAAAACAGUGGCCGCGGAACGGUUUUCAAAGUAAAGGGGCUGACCAUGAAAAAAAUCACAAUCAUAGGGUAAUUUUACGUUUUUUUACACGGUUUUCGAAAAAAGUGGGGGUUGAAGCCCCCCCCCCCCCCCCUCCCCCCGCUUCCGCGGCCCCGAUAUAUCAGAUUUUGAGACGGGCAUAAAAAAAUGUAUUAGCGAAUCAGGAAAAAAGGGUUAUCAUUCCAAACUCUGUGAUAUUAUCGCGGAAUUGACAAAAAAAAGGGGGAAAGGUAAAGGGUUUCAUCCGAAAAUGGGCGCAGGUUUAAUCAUCACUUCAAAAGGCGGGGUGGUGGGCACACAAGAAGCCCUGUGAACCUUUUACCAUCGUCAAUGCAGGCCUAUAUUAUAACAUCCGACUUGAAAAAAGAUUGUCGUACCUUUUUUCACUAAUUAAUGAUGGCAUCCAAGAUGAUCGCAAUCUUCCUUCUCAUAAGCGUUAUCGGGGUGGUGAUGAGCACGUAUGGUAUUGACAAUGAACGUGACUACGAGGUCAACUACGAGGUCGAUAUCGCAUUUCUCAAAGGUCUCUUAGACGAGGAGGUAUCUGAGGAAAGCGGAUGUGAUACCCCUCCCGGCGUAAAGUGUAAGGGAUGCAUGGCCGGUACUACACCCUAUGGUUGCACGGAAGUAUAAAAAGGACUGGCUGUUUUACCUGGCUGGGAUGUCGUCAAGAUAGCGUCGUUCAUGACCCUGACUCGAUCUGGGGAGCGUUUCAUCAAUAUUUUCAUCCGACAAGUUGUCAGAUCUGACAUCUUUCAAUGAUUUUGAUUGGCAGAGAGGCACUGUUCCUAUGGUAACUGUCGGAUAAAAUGGGACUUGUCGGAUAAAACGUCCGACAAGUCCUUUCAUGAAACG